Molecule: ribosomal RNA, 926 nt
Filed under: uncultured organism
Description: bacterial SSU rRNA
Rfam family: Bacterial small subunit ribosomal RNA
Source: RNAcentral
UGGAUCCAGACUUUGAUCAUGGCUCAGGAUGAACGCUAGCUACAGGCUUAACACACGCAAGUCGAGGGGAAACGACAUCGAAAGCUUGCUUUUGAUGGGCGUCGACCGGCGCACGGGUGAGUAACGCGUAUCCAACCUGCCCACCACUUGGGGAUAACCUUGCGAAAGUAAGACUAAUACCCAAUGACGUCUCUAGAAGGCAUCAGAAAGAGAUUAAAGAUUUAUCGGUGAUGGAUGGGGAUGCGUCUGAUUAGCUUGUUGGCGGGGUAACGGCCCACCAAGGCUACGAUCAGUAGGGGUUCUGAGAGGAAGGUCCCCCACAUUGGAACUGAGACACGGUCCAAACUCCUACGGGAGGCAGCAGUGAGGAAUAUUGGUCAAUGGACGAGAGUCUGAACCAGCCAAGUAGCGUGCAGGAUGACGGCCCUAUGGGUUGUAAACUGCUUUUAUAAGGGAAUAAAGUGAGCCUCGUGAGGCUUUUUGCAUGUACCUUAUGAAUAAGGACCGGCUAAUUCCGUGCCAGCAGCCGCGGUAAUACGGAAGGUCCGGGCGUUAUCCGGAUUUAUUGGGUUUAAAGGGAGCGUAGGCCGGAGAUUAAGCGUGUUGUGAAAUGUAGAUGCUCAACAUCUGCACUGCAGCGCGAACUGGUUUCCUUGAGUACGCACAAAGUGGGCGGAAUUCGUGGUGUAGCGGUGAAAUGCUUAGAUAUCACGAAGAACUCCGAUUGCGAAGGCAGCUCACUGGAGCGCAACUGACGCUGAAGCUCGAAAGUGCGGGUAUCGAACAGGAUUAGAUACCCUGGUAGUCCGCACGGUAAACGAUGGAUGCCCGCUGUUGGUCUGAAUAGGUCAGCGGCCAAGCGAAAGCAUUAAGCAUCCCACCUGGGGAGUACGCCGGCAACGGUGCAACUCAAAUGAAUUGACGGA